RNAcentral lists this long non-coding RNA (214 nucleotides) under Elaeis guineensis (African oil palm). Its description in RNAcentral is "long non-coding RNA (EGUI_LNC032318)". The record is from RNAcentral. Lineage: Eukaryota; Viridiplantae; Streptophyta; Magnoliopsida; Arecales; Arecaceae.
CAUGGGACAAUCUUAUGAAGUUAGUUUAUUGGGUAGGAGUUAUGCUUGCAAUGCAUGGAAUUUGAUAGGUAUACCAUGUAUUCAUGCCAUUUCUGCAAUGUGGCAUAAAAAUGAUGAUGUUGAAGAUUAUGUUGCAGAGUUGUAUACCAAAGAUUCUCGGAGAUGAUCUAUGAGUUUGUUUUGUAACUUGUAAAUGGAGAGAAGUUUUGGCCUA